AUGGAGGAGAGCAGGCCCGGGCGGUCGUGCACGGUGAACUCGAGUGAGGCGCAGUCCGACACGUCGGGGCCGCCGGGGCCGACCACGUUGCCGAGGCAGGUGGUGAACUUGGGGCUGCCGGAGCGCUGGAACGGCAGGAGCGCCCGCUGGAUGAAGCCCGGGAGCGACGGGUCCGUCAGCUUGCGCCCGAUCUGGUCCGUCACGUGGAACACUGCAUGGCGAACAAGAUUAGAAAAUUCCGCGUCAUCAAUCAUAGUAUAUUUUUCUGACCUAAAUCGAUCGGAGAAGAAAGAAAAAUGA
RNAcentral lists this ribosomal RNA (300 nucleotides) under Triticum aestivum (bread wheat). RNAcentral describes it as "partial small subunit ribosomal RNA". Lineage: Eukaryota; Viridiplantae; Streptophyta; Magnoliopsida; Poales; Poaceae. The record is from RNAcentral.